Molecule: ribosomal RNA, 253 nt
Filed under: uncultured bacterium
Lineage: Bacteria
Description: partial 16S ribosomal RNA
Rfam family: Bacterial small subunit ribosomal RNA
Source: RNAcentral
UACGUAGGGUGCGAGCGUUAAUCGGAAUUACUGGGCGUAAAGCGUGCGCAGGCGGUUUUGUAAGCCGGAUGUGAAAUCCCCGGGCUUAACCUGGGAAUGGCAUUCGGGACUGCAAGGCUGGAGUGCGGCAGAGGAGACUGGAAUUCCUGGUGUAGCAGUGAAAUGCGUAGAUAUCAGGAGGAACACCGGUGGCGAAGGCGGGUCUCUGGGCCGAUACUGACGCUGAGGAGCGAAAGCGUGGGGAGCGAACAGG